This is a long non-coding RNA of Oreochromis aureus, 1930 nucleotides long. The record is from Ensembl. NCBI's taxonomy places the organism in Eukaryota, Metazoa, Chordata, Actinopteri, Cichliformes, Cichlidae.
AGACUUGUAAACAUUUGUGGCUUUAACAGCUUAUAUCAUAAAUAAUAAUCAAACUGAGGAUCAUCAGGCAUCCAAAAACACAGCAGUGGUAUAAAAACAUUUUUAGAUCACAGUAAAGUUCAUGACGCAGAGACAUCGUGGAAGACAGGCAAAUAUUCUUUUUUGUAUUAACUAUAAAAAUAUGACUUAAGUCAAAGAGUCCGAUGUGAGUGUGCAACAGUCCCAGUGAGCUCAGAGUCCAUCUUCAGGGCCUCUUUAGUCCACCUCCUCAAUAGUGGGCCCCUGGGAGCCGGCUCGUGCCUGCUCUCCACAGGUAGCACCAGUGGGCAUCCUCCUGAUACAGCUUGCUGAUGAUGGGGUUGCACACUUUCUCCAGCUCUUUCUGCUUGUGUUGGUACUCCUCUUUAUCAGCCAGCUGGUUGUUCUCCAGCCAGGCGAUGGCCUCGUCACAUUUCUCCACCACCUUCUUCUUGUCCUCCUCGCUGAUUUUGCCCUUCAGGUUGUCGUCCUGCACGCUGCUCUUCAUGUUGAAGGCGUAGGACUCCAGGGAGUUCUUGGCGGCGAUUUUGUCCCUCUGAAGGUCGUCCUCGGCUUUGUAUUUCUCUGCGUCCUGCACCAUCUUCUCGAUCUCUUCUUUGCUCAGUCGGCCCUUAUCGUUGGUGAUGGUGAUCUUGUUCUCUUUGCGGUGCUCUUGUCCACCAUGAACACGUUCAAAAUGCCGUUGGCAUCGACGUCGAAGGUGACCUCGAUCUGCGGGACGCCUCGUGGGGCGGGCGGGAUCCCCGUCAGCUCAAACUUGCCCAGCAGGUUGUUGUCCUUGGUCAUGGCUCUCUCUCCUUCGUAGACCUGGAUCAGGACGCCGGGCUGGUUGUCGGAGUAGGUGGUGAAGGUCUGGGUCUGCUUGGUGGGGAUGGUGGUGUUGCGUUUGAUCAGGGCCGUCAUGACCCCUCCGGCCGUCUCGAUACCCAGGGACAGAGGCGCCACGUCCAGCAGCAGCAGCUUCUGGAUUUUGGGGAUUCGGGUGGAGCCUCCCACCAGGACGACGUCGUGGAUCUGCCCCUUGUCCAGUUUGGCGUCCCUCAGGGAUUUCUCCACCGGCUCCAAGGUUCCCCUGAACAGGUCGGAGCACAGCUCCUCAAAGCGAGCCCUGGUGAUGGAGGUGUAGAAGUCGACGCCCUCAAACAGAGAGUCGAUCUCGAUGCUGGCCUGGGAGCUGGAGGACAGGGUCCUCUUGGCCCUCUCACAAGCUGUGCGCAGCCUCCUCAAGGCUCUCUUGUUCUGGCUGAUGUCCUUCUUGUGCUUCCUCUUGAACUCCUCCACAAAGUGGUUCACCAUGCGAUUGUCAAAGUCCUCUCCGCCCAGGUGGGUGUCUCCGGCCGUGGACUUCACCUCAAAGAUGCCGUCUUCAAUGGUCAGGAUGGACACGUCGAAGGUGCCCCCACCCAGGUCAAAGAUCAGGACGUUCCUCUCGCCUGACUUGCCUUUGUCCAGACCGUAGGCGAUGGCGGCCGCCGUGGGCUCGUUGAUGAUCCUCAGAACGUUGAGGCCCGCGAUGACGCCCGCGUCUUUAGUGGCCUGUCGCUGGGAGUCGUUGAAAGCGCGCCGGGACCGUGAUGACAGCGUUGGACACCUUUUGGCCCAGGUAGGCCUCUGCGAUCUCCUUCAUCUUCACCAGGACCAUGGAGGAGAUCUCCUCGGGGUAGAAGGCCUUGUCCUCCCCUUUGUACUCCACUCUGAUUUUGGGCUUCCCUCCGUCUGAAAUCACCUUGAAGGGCCAGUGCUUCAUGUCCGCCUGCACCACAGGUUCAUCAAACUUUCUUCCAAUCAGCCUCUUGGCAUCAAACACAGUGUUGCUGGGGUUCAGAGCCACCUGGUUCUUGGCUGCGUCCCCAAUGAGCCUCUCGGUGUCUGUGAAGGCCACAUAGCUGGG